GGCAAAGACACAGAGAGUGCACCCAGAACACAUACCCCCAGGAGACCUGCAGGGGCCAGGGCUGCCUGACAGACCCCUCCACGCCCCAUGUCCACAGGGUGAUGCCUCAUCACAACCGUAAAGGAAUGUCAAGAGGACAGAAUUCUGAGAACUUGGGGAGGAGGUGCCUCGAUUUUUCUGGAAGAAGGUGGCAGAAAGAGCAAAUCAAGCUAAGAGGGCCUGCUAGCUGUCCUAGGAAACUGAAGCCCAGAGAUGCCAAAUGAUUGAGGUCCGAGGUCAUCCAGCAUCAGAGCCAGGAUUACACAAUCACUUAAAAUGCAGCUCAACUGUGAAAGUGAGGAGGGAGAAUAUAAGUGUGAGUUCAUGACCCGCCAUCCUCAGGGGAAGCCUGCAUCAUGUCACCCCCGCCAGGUGACGCACGUGCACAUGCCUCUGAUCUAUCUACCCUGCCAGCUACAGAAAUCAAGACAAAGCCUGGAAUCUACCAACCUACCAGCAUCUCCAGCAGGAAGGGUGGAGGUAAAGUGGCCCUUCCUCAAGCACAGAGAAACCAAAGCUGAAGGGUGUAUCCUCAGCCCACCAGCAGCAGAGAGGCUCCAGAGAGAACCUCUGUGCCAGGGGCUAUGCCCCCUACACCAGGCCUCCUCUGGCCUCGCUGAGGGGAGGGCUCGCUCAGCCAUAAUCUGUUCUCCCUGACACACCCUCCUUUUAUUUCUCUCACUCCAGAAAGUAACAAGGAUAACCCCCCUCCUCAUAACCCUCCUCCCCUUCAGAGCACAGAGAGCUCCUGGAGAACCAGGGCUGGUCCCUGUUCUUUCCACACUGGGCUCACUCUGCUCUUAACUUUUUCCAGAGGCAAAAACAUCAGGAUUAAAGCCAGGUGGCCACAGUGCUGCA
This 897-nucleotide long non-coding RNA is filed under the name Homo sapiens (human). RNAcentral describes it as "HSALNT0389801". Lineage: Eukaryota; Metazoa; Chordata; Mammalia; Primates; Hominidae. The record is from RNAcentral.